RNAcentral lists this ribosomal RNA (497 nucleotides) under uncultured bacterium. RNAcentral's name for it is "partial 16S ribosomal RNA". It matches the Rfam family "Bacterial small subunit ribosomal RNA", at positions 28 to 507 of the family's 1533-position model. The record is from RNAcentral.
GACGAACGCUGGCGGCGUGCCUAAUACAUGCAAGUUGAGCGAUGAAGAUUGGCGCUUGCACCAAUUUGAAGAGCAGCGAACGGGUGAGUAACGCGUGGGGAAUCUGCCUUUGAGCGGGGGACAACAUUUGGAAACGAAUGCUAAUACCGCAUAACAACUUUAAACAUAAGUUUUAAGUUUGAAAGAUGCAAUUGCAUCACUCAAAGAUGAUCCCGCGUUGUAUUAGCUAGUUGGUGAGGUAAAGGCUCACCAAGGCGAUGAUACAUAGCCGACCUGAGAGGGUGAUCGGCCACAUUGGGACUGAGACACGGCCCAAACUCCUACGGGAGGCAGCAGUAGGGAAUCUUCGGCAAUGGACGAAAGUCUGACCGAGCAACGCCGCGUGAGUGAAGAAGGUUUUCGGAUCGUAAAACUCUGUUGGUAGAGAAGAACGCUGGUGAGAGUGGAAAGCUCAUCAAGUGACGGUAACUACCCAGAAAGGGACGGCUAACUACGUG